This 526-nucleotide ribosomal RNA is filed under the name uncultured bacterium. Its description in RNAcentral is "bacterial SSU rRNA". It matches the Rfam family "Bacterial small subunit ribosomal RNA", at positions 777 to 1301 of the family's 1533-position model. The record is from RNAcentral.
AAUAGAUACCCAGGUAGUCCACGCCGUAAACGAUGAGUGCUAAGUGUUAGAGGGUUUCCGCCCUUUAGUGCUGCAGCUAACGCAUUAAGCACUCCGCCUGGGGAGUACGGCCGCAAGGCUGAAACUCAAAGGAAUUGACGGGGGCCCGCACAAGCGGUGGAGCAUGUGGUUUAAUUCGAAGCAACGCGAAGAACCUUACCAGGUCUUGACAUCCUCUGCCAACCCUAGAGAUAGGGCGUUCCCCUUCGGGGGACAGAGUGACAGGUGGUGCAUGGUUGUCGUCAGCUCGUGUCGUGAGAUGUUGGGUUAAGUCCCGCAACGAGCGCAACCCUUGAUCUUAGUUGCCAGCAUUCAGUUGGGCACUCUAAGGUGACUGCCGGUGACAAACCGGAGGAAGGUGGGGAUGACGUCAAAUCAUCAUGCCCCUUAUGACCUGGGCUACACACGUGCUACAAUGGAUGGUACAAAGAGCUGCGAACCCGUGAGGGUAAGCGAAUCUCAUAAAGCCAUUCUCAGUUCGGAUUGU